UUCCGGUUGAUCCUGCCGGACCCUACUGCUAUCGGGGUGGGACUAAGCCAUGCGAGUUGUGCGCCUUCGAGCAAUGGCGGAGGCGCGGCAUACGGCUCAGUAACACGUGGCUAACCUACCCUUGGGACGGGGACAACCCCGGGAAACUGGGGCUAAUCCUCGAUGGGUGAGGAGGCCUGGAAUGGUUCCUCGCCGAAAGGGCGCCGAAACCAUGCUUUUCAGCGUUGCCCAAGGAUGGGGCCGCGGCCGAUCAGGUUGUUGGUGGGGUAACGGCUCACCAAGCCUUUGACCGGUACGGGCCGUGAGAGCGGGAGCCCGGAGAUGGGCACUGAGAUAAGGGCCCAGGCCCUACGGGGUGCAUUAGGCGCGAAAACUCCGCAAUGUGCGAAAGCGUGACGGGGCCAUCCCGAGUGCCGUCCGCUGAGGAUGGCUUUUCCACGGUGUAAGGAGCCGUGGGAAUAAGGAGAGGGCAAGUCUGGUGUCAGCCGCCGCGGUAAUACCAGCUCUCCGAGUGGUAGGGAUGAUUAUUGGGCUUAAAGCGUCCGUAGCUGGCUCGGUAAGUCUUUCGUCAAAUCCAGCGACCUAAUCGUUGGACUGCGGGAGAUACUGUUGAGCUAGGGGGCGGGAGAAGCCGACGGUAUUCUCGGGGUAGGGGUGAAAUCCUAUAAUCCCGGGAGGACCACCAGUGGCGAAGGCGGUCGGCUAGAACGCGCUCGACGGUGAUGGACGAAAGCUGGGGGAGCGAACCGGAUUAGAUACCCGGGUAGUCCCAGCUGUAAACGAUGCGGGCUAGGUGUUGGGGGGGCUACGAGCCUCUUCAGUGCCGCAGCGAAGGCAUUAAGCCCGCCGCCUGGGGAGUACGGCCGCAAGGCUGAAACUUAAAGGAAUUGGCGGGGGAGCACCACAAGGGGUGAAGCUUGCGGUUUAGUUGGAGUCAACGCCGGA
Molecule: ribosomal RNA, 945 nt
Filed under: uncultured archaeon
Lineage: Archaea
Description: bacterial SSU rRNA
Rfam family: Archaeal small subunit ribosomal RNA
Source: RNAcentral